GCGCGCGUAGCUCAGCGGUGGAGCGCCCCCUUGACAUGGGGGAGGCCGGAGGUUCGAUCCCUCCCGUGCGCACCA
This 75-nucleotide transfer RNA is filed under the name Mesorhizobium amorphae. RNAcentral's name for it is "tRNA-Val". It matches the Rfam family "tRNA". From Rfam's summary of the family: Transfer RNA (tRNA) molecules are approximately 80 nucleotides in length. The record is from RNAcentral. Lineage: Bacteria; Pseudomonadati; Pseudomonadota; Alphaproteobacteria; Hyphomicrobiales; Phyllobacteriaceae.